GACGAACGCUGGCGGCGUGCUUAACACAUGCAAGUCGAACGGUAAGCCCCUGCUUUUGUGGGGUGCUCGAGUGGCGCACGGGUGUGUUACGCGAGAGUACCCUCCCCUUCACUUUGGUAUGACUUCAAGAAACGGUGGCUUAUACCAGAUUACUUCUCCUGCCGCGGGGUGGGGGUUGGAGAGUUUCACCGGUUGUGGAUGGGCUCACGGCCUAUCAGCUUGUUGGUGGGGUAGUGGCUUACCAAGGCGUUGACGGGUAGCCGGCCUGAGAGGGUGACCGGCGACACUGGGGCUGAGAGACGGGCCCGACUCCUACGGGGGGGAGCAGAGGGGAAUAUUGCGCAAUGGGCGGAGACCGGAUGCGGAGAAGCCGCGGGGGGGAGGACGGGCUUCGGGGUGUAAAACUCUUUUUGCAGGGAAGAAGCCAGAAGUGACGGUAACUGGAGAAGAAACGCCGGCUAACUACGUG
Molecule: ribosomal RNA, 469 nt
Filed under: uncultured bacterium
Lineage: Bacteria
Description: partial 16S ribosomal RNA
Rfam family: Bacterial small subunit ribosomal RNA
Source: RNAcentral